Molecule: ribosomal RNA, 501 nt
Filed under: uncultured bacterium
Lineage: Bacteria
Description: bacterial SSU rRNA
Rfam family: Bacterial small subunit ribosomal RNA
Source: RNAcentral
GACGAACGCUGGCGGCGUGCCUAAUACAUGCAAGUCGAGCGAAUCUUUGGGAGCUUGCUCCCGAAGGUUAGCGGCGGACGGGUGAGUAACACGUGGGCAACCUGCCUGUAAGACUGGGAUAACUUCGGGAAACCGGAGCUAAUACCGGAUAAUUCUUUUCCUCUCAUGAGGGAAAGCUGAAAGAUGGCUUCUCGCUAUCACUUACAGAUGGGCCCGCGGCGCAUUAGCUAGUGGUGAGGUAACGGCUCACCAAGGCGACGAUGCGUAGCCGACCUGAGAGGGUGAUCGGCCACACUGGGACUGAGACACGGGCCCAGACUCCUACGGGAGGCAGCAGUAGGGAAUCUUCCGCAAUGGACGAAAGUCUGACGGAGCAACGCCGCGUGAACGAUGAAGGCUUUCGGGUCGUAAAGUUCUGUUGUUAGGGAAGAACAAGUAUCGGAGUAACUGCCGGUACCGUUGACGGUACCUAACCAGAAAGCCACGGCUAACUACGUGCCA